UCCGCUCGAUCCAACUCCUCCCUCUUCCUCGGUCUCGCCUCAACCUACGCAGACGCAUGUCCUCUUCCCGAUAACCCUAGCCGCCGCGCUGAUCCUCCCCUAACUGCCGCCGCUAAUCUUCUCUCCCCUAACCGCAGGUGCACGCCAUUCUUUUCCCCUUCCUCCUGCUAACGACGUCCCUCCACUCUGCAACGCAGAUCAAUCGAUGUGGGCGGGGCACGUGGCGAUCCCCAGUCGGGCUACAUAGGGCCGACGACGAUCUGGACAGGGGCGGUUUGAGGCGCUCGCGCACGGAGUGGAUCCAGCAGCGGCCAUGUCCUGCAUCAAAGAUGCGGCUAGGAAUCGGAGGAGAGAUGGGAGAGAGGAGGAAGGGACCGGGGAUGGGCUCAGUGAUGCGGCGACGCUUGCGGAGGCUAGCUGGCGGCUGAGUCACACGGCAACGGCAGCGCGCGUGUGGCAUCCUCCCUGGUGGGGCGAGCAGGAAGGAGUAGGUGCACGGGAGGCGUAGGCGCUGUGGCCUAUCUGCAGAGGUGGACGACGGUAAUAGGGGAACUGGAACAAGCGCCAGAAGCGGCCAUGAACAUAGAUGCACAGUUCUGCAAGGAAGAAACCAGGGUGUACAGAGGAAGGGAGAUCUCACCCCAGGUCUCCGAGCUAUUAACUGGGAAGAUGAACCCCAGGCAGCCGGGCUGGACUGGUUUAAAAGUAACCCGUAAAACUUACUGAUUUUAAUUCACUUGGUACACGUCAUCAGUGAUUCAGUACGUGAUGCCGGUAUUGAGUGUACUAGCAGUCUACAGAUAGAUUUGCGUCCGUAUGCUGAGCUUGUUCUGAGGAUAAUAUUUUUUUGAUUGAAUCCAAUAUAAGGUAACUAAUAGAAAUACAAUAGUACUACUAAUGACAGUCUCACUGUUGGGAAGUUUUUUGAUGGAUAUUUAGUCGAGACAGCUAUUUCUACCAUGGAAUAAUUGCAAUUUAGCUAUGUGACGCCGAUGAAUUAUAUAAAGUUUAGAAAUGCAUGUAUGUCGAUUUAAUUUAACGGACAUGGUCUUUUAUGUUGAUUUCAGCUGAGCAGUAGGAAACAUUGGUGCAGAGUAAGGAUUGCAUCAGCGGCACCAUGCCCUUAUCGGGCGAAAACUCUUGAUAAAGAGAUAAGGGGAUUCGCUGACUAUCCAAUACAUAAUGUGAUUGUACUGGUGCUGGGGACAAGUUUUGACUCUUUAUGAUAGAGACGUGUGGUUUUUACAACCUAUUCUCUUGGGAGAAAGGUUUUGGGAUCAGAUAUUGGAAAAGCAGGUCAAUGUUGAGAGGACAAAAUUUAAUUACGAAAUAGUGUGUCGAUAUGUAGUGAGUUUUAUUUCAUUGCGACAUAUUUCAGUGUUUGGACAGUGUGUGUGUGUGUGUGUGUGUGUGUGAGUUGAGUUCUGAGAAGCAUUUUUUCCCAUGUUGACAACAUGCAGGGUGAAGCAGGUGUGUAGAACACACGAUCUUGCCGAUGUGAGUACCCUGCUCUAAUAAAUUGCUUAGAUCAGAGCACAGGGGUUAAGAAGUACAUGAGACUGCAGUUUGAUAUGCACACGACAUUUGACAUUUGACAUUUGACACGCUUGGGAGAGGGGAGGUGUUGGGAGGAGGAGACGUCAUGGAGCCCAAGAGCGGAUGCAACAGAAGAAGCAGCACCGUUGCCGUGCACUAAGCAGGUUGACAGAGUCUGCGAGGUGGAAGAUCCAUAGCAUACAGUUUUCAACCAUCCAUCGCUGAACCUACAGGAGCCUGAUGCCAUGUGUUUUUUUACCAAUCAAACUACUUGGAGAACCAAAGAAAGUUGUUUUUUCUAUCUCCACUAGGAGUCGGAAAUGAGAACGCCAUCUCUGCAUAACUGAACGAAGUGACUGAAAAUUUAUGUUAUAUAUGGUACAACCUUACGAGAGAAUUAUUUCUGUACAUGUAGAACACAGUUACAUGUAUGCCUUCAAAGUUAUUUGUUAUUUAUAUAUGUAUAAAUGAGCUUGGCUUUCAACCCUGCAAGGUUUACAAUUUCUCAGUUUUAUCAAGUCAUCCACAGUUUUAAUUAUCAUAUGUAUAAUUGUGCCUGAUACUCCAAAUGCCCAUUCGGCCAGGUUGAUUUACAAGGGUUGUGUGGAGCGAACUCUGUUCCUCUAAACCAAGGGGUACUUUUGGCCCUUUUCCUGGCAUCCGACAUAGUCGAUGAGAUAUCCCUGAAGCUUCAAUGGAUACAGAGUUUGAACCAUUUAGCAUUUGGGACCACGAGGAUUCCGAUUGGGAGAAUGACGCCGUCCAUAGAUUCAUGGCGAGACGUUGGUGGACAGGAGGGUUGACCAUUGGGCGAUGCGCUGCACGAGUAGGUCAGGAGGAACAAGAGUAGAAGAGGACUGUAGCCUGUAGGUGAGAGAAGAUGAUGCCAUUGCCAUCUUGACUGAAGGUUGGGCAUCUAAAGAUGCUUGUCAACCAGAACUCUGAAGCUAAACACCACUUGAAGGUACCUGGAAAUACAUUACUUGCUGAAGCUGCACAUCCUAUGCCCCAGGAGGAGGCCGAAUGCAUAUUCCGAUCAUGUGAUCUAAAUACUAAAGCUUCCUUGCUGGAUCUAAGGUUUAAUUUCUCAGCCCCAAUGCUGGCUCUUAGGGUAAUACAACUUCUACUCCAUAUUUUUAUGCCCUCCACAUAAAUCCAUCACUCUCUUGUUGCCUUGAAGCAUACUUCUGUCGCAGCCGGAGCUGAACAUUUGGAGAGACCAUACUGUAGCAAGCUUGCUUUCCAGGGACCUGGUGUUUCUGCAAACCCAACGAUAGGUGUGUUUGAAAAAAAGGACAGUUCGUGUUGCAAUUUUAUGAAAACUUGCUUAUGCGGUGUUAUUGCAAUGGUACAAAAAAUGUCAUGGUCUUUUUCUUCCUAUUUAGAUCGCCACCUACCUAUUAAUUACGACUCUGGGCAGGGCAGAAUGUCACCAUAAUUUUUGUUCAACAACUAGAUUUCAUCCCAAGACGUGCCAUCUCUCUAAUUUGACUCUGAGCAUGUAAUACAGUUAGUUAAUCAUGUGGGUUGGUCUUGUGUCUUCCAGCUGCAAUUGAAUUACUCUAAGCGAUCGAGGCCCUACUAAUUAAUUAACCUGGCUAUUUGCUUGCUUCUUGUACCUACAGCAUGCUCUCUGACUUUUUUUAUCGCAGUAUGCAAGCUUCUAAGCGCCGGAUUGAUGUCGUACUAACAAAUUAAGGUUCCGGAAGAUGUCAUGAAGAAUUUCUUUGAGAGAAUUUGCGUGAGGUGCUGCCAGUGUGGAAGAGGAGAUUCGAGCCUCAUAAGUGAAUACGGAAAUCCAUCUGAACUGGUAUCCAUCCCUGUGCCUGCCUCUCUCCAAAACUCCUUCCCGCACUUGAUUGAGCAAAAGAUGCAGCUUCAAUAAUUGAGCGGCGUGGAAGGUGACCUUGGCUGUAGGCAGCAGCUCCUUUGGCUGAUCUGCGGCGAUGCAGAAGUUGGCUUGGAAAGAAGCACGACCGGCUGCUCUGAAGUGGGUCGUAGGGAGGGCUUCGUAAGAGUUAGGGAGGGAGCUCUAUUAGCCAGUGCAUGACAUCCAACCCAAUGGCAUCAUGCCCUGGUAGGCAUGGUUGCGUGGCCACGGGGAGAAUGAAGCAAGUAGCGUGUGAGGAGUUUAAGAAAUGGGGACAGGGGACAGUUAAUUAAGGCUCUAUGUUAGUUUCAAGUUUUAUCCUUGUUGAGUACAUGAAGGUGGAACAUGAGGAAGGGUGGGAGAAGAUUAGAUAUCGUUUCAUUUUCUUGCAAGGAGAGGAUGGUUACGAAGAAAUGGCAAGAAAUGGAGAGAGAAUCAGGUUUAUUACUGUAUGGAUGGAAACCACAUGCCAGCUUGUCCAACAUAUUUCUACAUUGAGUCAAUUAUUCGACCGCUAUGUUUUUUUUAUUCCAUGGCAAUGCAUGGUCAUUCAACUAUUCAAAUUUACAGAUCAAAGAUCAAAACUGAUGGCUUUUUAUUGACAAAGCUUUAUGGUGAACCAAACUGAAAAAUCAUUGGGGUUUACACAAUCAGAAGAGAUGCAUACAAAUAAUUGUUCUUUAUAUAUUUGUUGUGCAUGAUAAUACAAAAGGUAUGUUUCUAUACAUAUUUAUUUUUGCAGAGUAUGAAAGAGAUGGAGAUGGAUUAUGUCAACGUUCAAAAAGAAUUAAUCGACAAGGGUGUUGAGGCGAUGUCAUUGGAAGGGCCCAAAAAUUCAUUAAGAAUUAUACAACAAAAGGCCCAUGGCAACGCACUGGCAUUUUUAUACACACGACAUUUGACAUGCAUUAUGUUCAUAUAUGCAACCAACAGUUAAUGCAUUCGAUGUGUAUAUCACUCCCUCCGUCCUAAAAUACUUGUCAUCAAGAUGGAUAAAAAUGAAUGUAUCUAGAACUAAAAUACGUCUAGAUACAUCUUCUUUUAUCCAUUUUGAUGACAAGUAUUUCCGGACGGAGGGAGUAUUUUUUUUGUAUGUGACAAUGCACAAGCAUUGAACUAACUGUAUGAAAGGAAACCAUUUCAAUUUCCCCUUUCCAAGAACAAGGAAUUCUUAUGUAUUGGAACACAUACGCUUGGAGGACUUCAGGGGGAGAGAGCGACAAUAUUACAUGAAUACAGAUGUGCCAAUUGCAAAGACUUUACGGUGGUGAUACAGAGGCAUUCCUCUGUUCAUUAACUCAGAUUCAGACUCUAAUAUAUGCAGGCAGUAUGAUCAAUAACUGUCAAAGAGUAAUAUGACGUUCUCAAAUUGCCAAGAUAUGCAGGAGACAUUGUAACAAAAGCUGCAAUCUCUAUGUAGCUAUUUACUUCAAUUGAUGAAUUCACUUCAUGACAGGACAUGGUGUGUCGUGGAAGAUUGUUGUUUAAUU
Molecule: long non-coding RNA, 4896 nt
Organism: Triticum aestivum (bread wheat)
Lineage: Eukaryota; Viridiplantae; Streptophyta; Magnoliopsida; Poales; Poaceae
Exons: 12
Source: RefSeq, a predicted model, not a curated record